CUCUUUGAACAGUGGCAGUGUUGUAGCCAAUGAAGUUUAACGCAGGCACGAUUAUUGCUGCUUGCAAACUUUUCCCUAUAUCCCAACACAGUGACUUGAAAUAUAGUUGGCGUUGGCAAUUUUUGACAGUCUCUAUAGAGC
Molecule: small nuclear RNA, 141 nt
Filed under: Microcebus murinus (gray mouse lemur)
Lineage: Eukaryota; Metazoa; Chordata; Mammalia; Primates; Cheirogaleidae
Description: U4 spliceosomal RNA (ENSMICG00000042248.1)
Rfam family: U4 spliceosomal RNA
About the family: U4 small nuclear RNA (U4 snRNA) is a component of the major U2-dependent spliceosome.
Source: Rfam by way of RNAcentral